Non-coding RNA from Rhipicephalus sanguineus (brown dog tick), 73 nucleotides. The record is from the annotation of a RefSeq genome assembly. NCBI's taxonomy places the organism in Eukaryota, Metazoa, Arthropoda, Arachnida, Ixodida, Ixodidae.
UCCUGGUUAGCUCACUUGGUAGAGCGACUGCCCCGAAAAGGCGUAGUCCCGGGUUUGAUUCCCGGACCAGGAU